This 585-nucleotide long non-coding RNA is filed under the name Homo sapiens (human). RNAcentral describes it as "non-protein coding NDST1-AS1:7". Lineage: Eukaryota; Metazoa; Chordata; Mammalia; Primates; Hominidae. The record is from RNAcentral.
AGUCCCGGCCCGGCGCUGCGCCGGGGCAGCUCGCAGCCUCCCCCUCGUCCCGCAGCGGGGAGGGGUCUCCCUGGAGACUGAAGGUUGGGGCGCGCUGCCUCGCCCCCUAGCCCAGAGGGGCGUACCCGUGCGCCGAGAGCCCCCAAGCCCGUCUCCCCUUACCUCCUCGGCCCAGCGCCUACCUCCCCGAAUCGCGGCCGCUGGGAGCGGGGUUCGAUCCCGUGAUGCCGCGUGGGUGCCGGCCAGAGAAGAGCUCCGGAGGCCGGGGCGGCCGGCGGGCGUGCGAAUGUCAUCUUUCCCAACAAGUUGUUCCCAGCAGAAUCCUCUCUCCUGGCACAAAACAAGCAGAUGAAGAGCAGCCCUGAGAGGUAGACACAGCGGAGAUUUUUUUCACCCGCAUUGUACAGAAGAGAAAAUGAAGCUUUGCCCAACCUGCAGGAGAUCCCCUCACCUUGCAAAAGAGCCAAGCUGUGGGAUCUUCAGUCCCUGGACCAUUUAGCUUGACUAAGAGAACAGGAAUGGAGGCCAAAAGAUCUACAAAAUGCUCACACAGAGAAGAUGACAGCUUCUACAAAUAAAUGUCAA